This is a long non-coding RNA of Felis catus (domestic cat), 1506 nucleotides long. RefSeq lists it as uncharacterized. The transcript has 3 exons. The record is from RefSeq and is a predicted model, not a curated record. Lineage: Eukaryota; Metazoa; Chordata; Mammalia; Carnivora; Felidae.
AGUCAGUGUGAGGGGUGGGCACGGACCUAGGGGUCCCCCAGCUUGAGCAAUAAUCCCUUUAUACAGUAGGUUCUCUGACUUGGGGGACCCCCUUCUUCCAACCUGAGCUGCGUGGCUGUGGAUCCCCGCAGGGCGCGUGGGAAUGGGGGAGGGGCGAACGGAGUAUUAUUUGAUAGGGUUUGAACUGCUCUCUUGCUCCCAGUACACCUUCCCUACAACCUAACACAGUGCCUCAGGUUGCGCCAUUACAUUUCCAGCCCUUUGGGUCUUAGAGGCAUUGAAGGUUCCCAGAGUCUCCUUGGAAACUGCCAACAUCCCUGGGAGAGGGAACCCCCUAAAGUGUUAGCAUCCCACGCCCGCGAUAGGGAUUCGUUGGCCACCAGCGGAAGGAGUUGGGCCUGGAGAACAAGAUCCAGGGUAUUAAAAGUUGGGUGCAUAUUUCACAACUGAAGAAGGCCACAUCUGACAUUUGGCCCUGUGUGAAUGCUAAAGACCUCAAAAUCAAAUUGACUAGGAGGAGAAGUAGCUGAAAUCAAGGUAGACUGCUUUCUCCCAAGAAGUUAGAUUGAUGAGGGAGCAUAAGCUUAUUACACAACUCAAGCAAAAGACCCUGCAGACAAAGUAUCCACUUAUGGGAACCAAAACUACCUCCUGAAGCAAUAAGGCGUGCCCUGAGCCAGCCAGAUCCCACUCAUGACAAUGCUCGACCACACCUUUACUGCCUUAGGUACCCACCGAACUUUGUCCCACAUUUUCCUUAUAUAAACCUGGAAAUACUUUCAGCACUUCGAGAGUCUUUGAGAUCUUUGAGAUGCUAGUCCGCUGUCUUCCCCUCAAUGAAAUAAAUUCCUCUCUUGUUUCACUACUACUCAUUGCUCUGCCUUUAGAUUUUGUCAGCAGUGAGUGGAUAAACCUGGUCUGUUUAGGAUCCCCAGAGACAGGUGCCCUUGCAUCCCUGUGCCCCGGCUACCAGCCAACUCUGGGCUCUAUACUUCCUUCCUUCUUUCUUAUUUAUUUUCUAUUUUUUCUCUUCCUUGUUUCUUUAUCCUAUAAAGUCUUCCUGCCUCCUGCCCCAUUUUGCAGUUCUCUGGACCUUGGGAACAGAGACUACAGCUUCAUGAGGUACUAAAUACAGUUUGUAUUACCGGUUAAAAAGAAACAAUAAGCCCCCAAAUGGAGUCAGUUUUGCUUAGCAUCAUCAAGACUUAAAGCCUAACCUAGUUGGAGUUUCAGCUUCUCCCAGGGGUGGAAUUUUGAACCAAUUAUUCGGCAAUUUCCUAGUCAGCACUAGUGAGGUAAUCUGCACGAUAAGACCCUUUGUCUUCCCCUAAGGAAAGGUAAACUUGGCUGAAAUGUUCCACUCUUUUAACUUCCUUGCCCCAUCUUCCUUCUGACUAUAAAAUCCUUCCAUUUUGUACAGUUCCCCUGAGCGCCUUUCUACUUGCUACCUGGUAUGCUGCCAGGUUCAUGAAUGGUUGAAUAACGCCAAAUUUACUUCGUUGAAUU